CAAAAAGCCAUCACUUCUGUUGUCAGCGUUCGUGGCUUGAUGGUGCGUCUCUACAGAAAAAUGUGGCAGCAGAUUCUUCCAGCAGAAGAAGCAGCUCUUUAAGCAAUGUGUGAGUAGACUAAUUGGAGUCAAAGGAAUUGCUAACCAGGGUAAACUGGUAUGAUUAAUCUCGAAUACUUUCCCUCUAAGAAACACCAAUUAAAUGCUCUUAUCUCAGCCUAAUCCCUAGAAGAUGUUUGGCAUCAUCCUUCACAUAACAGCAGUCUCUGAUCAGGGAGGCGUGUGAUUGACAGGGCAGGAGCUGCUGCAGGCCAGGACUGAGCAGAAGAGUCGGAGGUGUGUGUCCCCCGCUGCCAUAGCACUGGAGGCUGCAGAUUAUGACUUGGAGGGCACAUCCGAGUGUUCACAUUCACUCAGAGGGCACGGCUGUACAUGUUCAUUUACUGCACCAUAAUUAUGGCCUGCUGACUUUUUGGAGCUGGGCAAACCUGUGAGAUGCACCAUAAAUGGCAUAAAAAAGCAAGGUUUAUGAACUGCAAAGAAGUAAGGAAGUUUUCCAGGAAACUAUGCAAAACCCCC
Molecule: long non-coding RNA, 579 nt
Filed under: Crocodylus porosus (Australian saltwater crocodile)
Lineage: Eukaryota; Metazoa; Chordata; Crocodylia; Crocodylidae
Description: lncRNA (ENSCPRG00005006654.1)
Source: RNAcentral